UUACUAGAGUAGCACUCGCAUAUCAAUAAGCGGAGGAAAAGAAACUAACAAGGAUUCCCCUAGUAACGGCGAGUGAAGCGGGAAGAGCUCAAAUUUGAAAUCUUAAAGGGUUUCCCUUUACGAAUUGUAGUUUAAAGAGGUGUUUUCUGUUGAGGUUUUGGUAAAAGUUCUUUGGAAUAGGACAUCAUAGAGGGUGAGAAUCCCGUAUUUGACCUUUACUUUCAACUUUGUGAUACACUUUCAAAGAGUCGGAUUGUUUGGGAAUGCAGUCCAAAAUGGGUGGUAAAUUUCAUCUAAAGCUAAAUAUUGGCGAGAGACCGAUAGCGAACAAGUACCGUGAGGGAAAGAUGAAAAGAACUUUGAAAAGAGAGUUAAACAGUACGUGAAAUUGUCAAAAGGGAAGCGUUUGACACCAGUGUUGUUUUUCUGAAAAUCAAUUAAAGAACUGUUUAUGCUAAGCUGUUUAGACUUUAUCAGCUAACUGUUUAGUUUUGAGCUUUUCUUUAAUGCACUUUUCAGUUAACAAGUCAACAUCAAUUUCUUUUGCUGUAAAAAAGCUUGAGGAAGGUGGCUUGAGAUUCGUCUUAAGUGUUUAUAGCCUCUUGCCUAUGCAGUCGGAGAGAUUGAGGUCUGCAGCGUAGAUCCUUCGGGGCUAAAUGCAUUUGUGCUAAGUUAUAGCAUUUUAUAGACUAACUUGUUGACUAUGAUUUGUCUUGUAGCUUACUCGCUUAUGUUAUUUUACCUACGCUUAGGAUGUUGAUCUACAGAGCGAGAGU
This 776-nucleotide ribosomal RNA is filed under the name uncultured Neocallimastigales. Its description in RNAcentral is "partial large subunit ribosomal RNA". It matches the Rfam family "Eukaryotic large subunit ribosomal RNA", at positions 1 to 635 of the family's 3401-position model. The record is from RNAcentral. Lineage: Eukaryota; Fungi; Neocallimastigomycota; Neocallimastigomycetes; Neocallimastigales.